UUUAUAAAUUACCCAGCCUCUGGUAUUCCUUUAUAGCAACGCAACAAUGAAUGAAGACACCUAGCAUCCUUGUGCUUAAGAAGGCAGGCUCUGAGACCUGCUCGGUGGCAAAGAGGCAGAAAGAAAGUGCUGGUGGGGUGAAGGUGAGGAUGAGAGCCACUCCUGCCAAGCAGAUCGCUGGGCGAGGGGCCUGCCGCGGGGACUCAUAAUACACUAUUAGAUAAUAUAUUAUACAAAAUAUAUAAAAUGUAUUACAUUAAUAUAUUAUAUGUAAUUAUAAUUGUAUGUAUGAUAACUACCAUGCUCGGGCUGGUCUCAAAUUCCUGGACAUUUAUUAUGAAAUACACAUCCAAUAUUAUUAACCUUUAUAUAUUAUGUAUUAAGUUAACAGACAAGUAUUUUAAAUUUGUCAAAUUGAAUAUUACCAUGUAUCAAUAUGCGCUGUGUGCACAGGGACCUGGAGUGGAGAGAAGGGUGCAGAGGAAGCUCAGGAUGCCGUUGGCCGGGACUUAGCGGAGUUGGAGCUGCGUUCUGUAGAGGAGGCAGGGAUGACAGAGGAGGCCCCGUCCUAGUGGAGGUCUCAAUCCACAAGGAGGCAGGCAUUGCAGGGGUCUCACCCUGGGAUGAGCAUUACAGAAGGCAAGUGAGGGCCCCCCAGCACAAGGCAAGGUGGGGCCGUGGCCUGAGGCAAGAGAGGAGUCCCAUCCAAGGGAAGGUCAGGGGGAAGGCAGUGUUCACUGGGCGAACUGGACAAUGACCUCAGCUUGGACCUGGGUAGCAGAGAGCACAGCAAGAAGCUGGGGCUGCAGACCAGAGGGCUGGGUGUCGGCCUCUCGCUGGUGAUGAGACAGGCGGCUUCUGCGAAGGGCCAGGGAUGAUGGAGGGGAAUUGGAUCCUGGAGCAGGAAAGUAGGGCAUGGUUAGGGGCUGAUGGAGACCUGGCAGUGGCACAAUCUCGGCUUAAUGCAACCUCCACCUUCCGGGUACAAGCGAUUCUCCUGCCUCAGCCUCCCAAGUAGCUGGGACUACAGGCGCACACAUCACGCACGCCCAGCUAAUUUUUGUAUUUUUAGUAGAGAUGGGGUUUUACCAUGUGGGCCAGGAUGGUCUCGAUCUCCCGACCUCAUGAUCCUCCCAUUUUGGCCUCCCAAAGCUCUGGGAUUACAGGUGUGAGCUACUGUGCCCGGCCCACUUAGUUAUUUUAAGAUAGGGUCUUGCUCUGUUGUCCGAGCUGGAGUGCAAUGGUGCUAUCAUAGCUCACUGCAACCUCGACCUUCUAGGCUCAAGUGAUCCUCCUGCCUCAGCCUCCUGAGUAGC
RNAcentral lists this long non-coding RNA (1316 nucleotides) under Homo sapiens (human). Its description in RNAcentral is "non-protein coding lnc-PSMG4-16:2". Lineage: Eukaryota; Metazoa; Chordata; Mammalia; Primates; Hominidae. The record is from RNAcentral.